ACGACCUUACUCGAACAGGAUCUGUUCUAUAGGCUUGUACCGCUGCAUCUUUUACCAAUAAGGAGGCAAGCACUUCACUCUGGUUGAUGCAUUCUGACCUCUGGGCCAGAGCGUGAUUAACGGCUUGGAUUAACCUGAUGGGUGUCCUCUGAUGGCUGUAGAGGAUCGUUCCUGCCCAGUUCACAUUGGUGCAGGGUGGCUUAGAGGUUGUCUGACAGACU
Triticum aestivum (bread wheat) is the source of this 221-nucleotide non-coding RNA. Lineage: Eukaryota; Viridiplantae; Streptophyta; Magnoliopsida; Poales; Poaceae. The record is from Rfam.